Molecule: long non-coding RNA, 1223 nt
Organism: Danaus plexippus (monarch butterfly)
Lineage: Eukaryota; Metazoa; Arthropoda; Insecta; Lepidoptera; Nymphalidae
Exons: 2
Source: RefSeq, a predicted model, not a curated record
UUUUGAUGUAACGUUCCAAUAGUAUAGCUCAGACAUUUGAUAACCAUACAGGGUCUCAUUUAUCCCUUCAUUCCGUGUAAUUUGCUCGAACACAUCAUAACAUAUGGUACGGGACACGGACGGUAGAUGUCGCUGAUGGUUUGGCAACAUAUAUAACUACACGUUACAAAAAAAUUAAUUGCUUAAAAAAAUAUAAAGUAUUUUAUAUUACAUUUUUCCUUAUCUUUAGAGCUUUUUGUAUUCACUAAUUACUUCCCAUGAAGACUUAACUUGGUCUGAGCAGGUAAAGCAGGAAAAUGGGAGUUAUAAGACCAAGUGAGGCUUGACAUAUAGGUGCUUAACACAGUAGUAGAUAGCGAGUUAUUGAGUACAUAACAGGUAUGCUGUUUCUAAUCUUCAAGAAUUGAAUCUGAUGGAUUUGGGGAACUGUGAGGCGUCUUCUGACGGGUGGAUGGUGGGUGAUCCAUAUCCGUGGGUGUGAGUCCCGUGGCUACCCCUUCCCUGACAUUCAGUCACAAGCUAUUCCAUCCAACUGUGAGUAGCUGGGAUCUCUCAGGUCAAAUCACCGAGAAUACAAGUUGCAAUGCAAACACUUAAGUUAGGAUCGCAUUAAAAAGAAGCAACAAGAUUCGUUUGUAAAGAAAAAUAAUAAAAAAACAUUAAUGACGGUAAACCAAGAACAUUAACUGUUUCAUAAUACUUAGAGACGAAUAGAGAUGGUUUGAAAAAUAAGGUUUGCAUUAAAGAAAUAGUUAAUGGAAUAUUAAACAUACAAAAACUAUUGAUAAUAUUAUGUUGAAGUGAUCGUUGUGAAGGUUAGCCUAAUCAAACUACAUCCCACGCGUCUCCACUCGUCAUUCAUAUAUCAUAGUUGUGUUGAUACUAAUAUAUUUUGGUUAUUAAGAAACAAACUUGCAUCUCUUCGUUUGUAUUGUUGACUCAACCUCGUACUAAGAACAGCACUUUUGGGACAUAUUGUCAGUUGAGGUUCAACUAGUAUGGAGCAUGUUUAGCUGAGGCCAGACCUGCGAUCACAUCUCCUGUAUAAUGUUUCUGUACCCUCGUUUUCGUGAUGAUGGAGGGACAUUAUGGGCCUCUGUUCUGGGAUCCACAACACGGAUAUAAUAUUAAUAAAAAUUACAUCUCUAUUGUUCUUUUGAGCUUGAAGUAAUGAAUUACAUGUAAUUGUCGGGUGUCGAGCGUUUUGCGCCUUCUAGUAGUUU